AGUCUGACGGAGCACGCCGCGUGAGUGAAGAAGGUUUUCGGAUCGUAAAGCUCUGUCUUUGAGGACGAAUGUGCUUAAUGUGAAUAAUGUUAAGUAAUGACGGUACUCGAGGAGGAAGCCACGGCUAACUACGUGCCAGCAGCCGCGGUAAUA
This 153-nucleotide ribosomal RNA is filed under the name uncultured bacterium. RNAcentral's name for it is "partial 16S ribosomal RNA". It matches the Rfam family "Bacterial small subunit ribosomal RNA", at positions 380 to 525 of the family's 1533-position model. The record is from RNAcentral.